Molecule: long non-coding RNA, 220 nt
Filed under: Gossypium barbadense (sea-island cotton)
Lineage: Eukaryota; Viridiplantae; Streptophyta; Magnoliopsida; Malvales; Malvaceae
Description: long non-coding RNA (GBAR_LNC006086)
Source: RNAcentral
AAAUUUAAAAAAAAGUAAAAUUAAAAAUACCACCAAAUUAUGCAAGUGCGGGACCAAGGUCAUCAAUCUAUUCAUCAGCGUUGCCACUAUUUGCAUCUGCUCCAAGUCUAACUUGCGAAUUGAUGAGGUUAGCCAUGGAAUUUAUAGCUUCUAUUAAAGGAAUUUUAGAAAUCUCGGCCUUUUUUAGUUUCCCUUCCUUUUCUUUGAAAGUGCAAUUAAG